Molecule: ribosomal RNA, 402 nt
Filed under: uncultured bacterium
Lineage: Bacteria
Description: bacterial SSU rRNA
Rfam family: Bacterial small subunit ribosomal RNA
Source: RNAcentral
UGGGGAAUCUUGCACAAUGUGGGAAACCCUGAUGCAGCGACGCCGCGUGAACGAUGAAGCCCUUCGGGGUGUAAAGUUCUUUCGACAGGAACGAUAAUGACGGUACCUGGAGAAGAAGCUGCGGCUAACUACGUGCCAGCAGCCGCGGUAAUACGUAGGCAGCGAGCGUUGUUCGGAGUUACUGGGCGUAAAGAGUGCGUAGGCGGCGAGCCAAGUUUGGUGUGAAAUCUCCCGGCUUAACCGGGAGGGUGCGCCGAAAACUGGUUGGCUGGAGUAUGGGAGAGGAAAGCGGAAUUCCUGGUGUAGCGGUGAAAUGCGUAGAUAUCAGGAGGAACACCUGCGGUGUAGACAGCUUUCUGGACCAAAACUGACGCUGAGGCACGAAAGCGUGGGUAGCAAACA